Molecule: long non-coding RNA, 462 nt
Filed under: Zea mays
Lineage: Eukaryota; Viridiplantae; Streptophyta; Magnoliopsida; Poales; Poaceae
Description: drought responsive lncRNA
Source: RNAcentral
CCAGAGUACAAGCUCGAGAGAGCCAGAAAUACGAAGCGCAGUAGAAGAUAAACUAUGUGGCAGAACCGCCCGAAUUAUUCCAGCUUAAGUGUCCAAGUCGCACCCUUAAAGGCAGCAACACACUUAAAUCGGAAUAACCCGUCAGUCCCUCGGAUCUAGUCCGAUAAAGCCACUUAUCCAGGAUCGAAUACCACUAGCUCACUCGAAGGUGAGGCACAGAGAAAUACAAUAAAACAUAAUACUACAAAUUUAAUAAGUAUCAGUAGUAACUACAUUAUCGGAGUUUCAGAAAUAAUAACCAUAAAUUUUAAUGCAGCGGAAAUAACUAACGGAGAAGAACCGAGUAACAUGGUGAAGCCUGGCCACACUACUCCUCCUGGUCCUCUCCUGCGGAAGCAGUAACCCACUCGACCGUCUAUCCCGGUGGCAGGGAUGAAGGCCAAGUCACACCAUCAACCAAAU